CCGCCCCGCAGAGGGUGGGCCUGCGGCGACCGCGAGCUCAGAGUCCGGACUUGUCGCGCAAUCUGUCUCCUUCGGUUCCACCCCAACCUAGCUGGACUCUCGGUCCGGUCCCUGCCCUCUGGAGACUCAGCCAUUAAAGUUGAGGUGGGGGGAUGAGGAUGUGGGCGGCGUCCAGGUAACUCUGCGGGGCCCUGAUGCUUUCCCUAGAGCCAGCCAUCAGGAGUAACACGAUGCGCCCCCACAUCACCGAACCCAGAACCUCAGUGCUUCAGCACCCCUUCCUCGACAUGAGCUCCGCCCAAUGAGGAGAAGGGUCUUCUCCAUUGGCCGGUGGUGGUCCCCUAUCCAAUUAGAGAGGCUAACGGCCUUCUCUCGUCUGGUUUAGAAGGAAUCGCCGGGGGAAUACAGGCCAAACUACAAUUCCCGAGAGAUCUUGAGCCAGAUGAUUGUGCAUCCAUUUACAUCUUUAAUGUAGAUCCACCUCCAUCUACUUUAAACACACCACUUUGCUUACCACAUCAUGGAUUACCGUCUCACUCUUCUGUUUUGUCACCAUCGUUUCAGCUCCAAAGUCACAAAAACUAUGAAGGAACUUGUGAGAUUCCUGAAUCUAAAUAUAGCCCAUUAGGUGGUCCCAAACCCUUUGAGUGCCCAAGUAUUCAAAUUACAUCUAUCUCUCCUAACUGUCAUCAAGAAUUAGAUGCACAUGAAGAUGACCUACAGAUAAAUGACCCAGAACGGGAAUUUUUGGAAAGGCCUUCUAGAGAUCAUCUCUAUCUUCCUCUUGAGCCAUCCUACCGGGAGUCUUCUCUUAGUCCUAGUCCUGCCAGCAGCAUCUCUUCUAGGAGUUGGUUCUCUGAUGCAUCUUCUUGUGAAUCGCUUUCACAUAUUUAUGAUGAUGUGGACUCAGAGUUGAAUGAAGCUGCGGCCCGAUUUACCCUUGGAUCCCCUCUGACUUCUCCUGGUGGCUCUCCAGGGGGCUGCCCUGGAGAAGAAACUUGGCAUCAACAGUAUGGACUUGGACACUCAUUAUCACCCAGGCAAUCUCCUUGCCACUCUCCUAGAUCCAGUGUCACUGAUGAGAAUUGGCUGAGCCCCAGGCCAGCCUCAGGACCCUCAUCAAGGCCCACAUCCCCCUGUGGGAAACGGAGGCACUCCAGUGCUGAAGUUUGUUAUGCUGGGUCCCUUUCACCCCAUCACUCACCUGUUCCUUCUCCUGGUCACUCCCCCAGGGGAAGUGUGACAGAAGAUACGUGGCUCAAUGCUUCUGUCCAUGGUGGGUCAGGCCUUGGCCCUGCAGUUUUUCCAUUUCAGUACUGUGUAGAGACUGACAUCCCUCUCAAAACAAGGAAAACUUCUGAAGAUCAAGCUGCCAUACUACCAGGAAAAUUAGAGCUGUGUUCAGAUGACAAAGGGAGUUUAUCACCAGCCCGGGAGACUUCAAUAGAUGAUGGCCUUGGAUCUCAGUAUCCUUUAAAGAAAGAUUCAUGUGGUGAUCAGUUUCUUUCAGUUCCUUCACCCUUUACCUGGAGCAAACCAAAGCCUGGCCACACCCCUAUAUUUCGCACAUCUUCAUUACCUCCACUAGACUGGCCUUUACCAGCUCAUUUUGGACAAUGUGAACUGAAAAUAGAAGUGCAACCUAAAACUCAUCAUCGAGCCCAUUAUGAAACUGAAGGUAGCCGAGGGGCAGUAAAAGCAUCUACUGGGGGACAUCCUGUUGUGAAGCUCCUGGGCUAUAACGAAAAGCCAAUAAAUCUACAAAUGUUUAUUGGGACAGCAGAUGAUCGAUAUUUACGACCUCAUGCAUUUUACCAGGUGCAUCGAAUCACUGGGAAGACAGUCGCUACUGCAAGCCAAGAGAUAAUAAUUGCCAGUACAAAAGUUCUGGAAAUUCCACUUCUUCCUGAAAACAAUAUGUCAGCCAGUAUUGAUUGUGCAGGUAUUUUGAAACUCCGCAAUUCAGAUAUAGAACUUCGAAAAGGAGAAACUGAUAUUGGCAGAAAGAAUACUAGAGUACGACUUGUGUUUCGUGUACACAUCCCACAGCCCAGUGGAAAAGUCCUUUCUCUGCAGAUAGCCUCUAUACCCGUUGAGUGCUCCCAGCGGUCUGCUCAAGAACUUCCUCAUAUUGAGAAGUACAGUAUCAACAGUUGUUCUGUAAAUGGAGGUCAUGAAAUGAUUGUGACUGGAUCUAAUUUUCUUCCAGAAUCCAAAAUCAUUUUUCUUGAAAAAGGACAAGAUGGACGACCUCAGUGGGAAGUAGAAGGGAAGAUAAUCAGGGAAAAAUGUCAAGGGGCUCACAUUGUCCUUGAAGUUCCUCCAUAUCAUAACCCAGCAGUUACAGCUGCAGUGCAGGUGCACUUUUAUCUUUGCAAUGGCAAGAGGAAAAAAAGCCAGUCUCAACGUUUUACUUAUACACCAGUUUUGAUGAAGCAUGAACACAGAGAAGAGACUGAUUUGUCUUCAGUUCCAUCUUUGCCUGUGCCUCAUCCUGCUCAGACCCAGAGGCCUUCCUCUGAUUCAGGGUGUUCACAUGACAGUGUACUGUCAGGACAGAGAAGUUUGAUUUGUUCCAUCCCACAAACAUAUGCAUCCAUGGUGACCUCAUCCCAUCUGCCACAGUUGCAGUGUAGAGAUGAGAGUGUUAGUAAAGAACAGCAUAUGAUUCCUUCUCCAAUUGUACACCAGCCUUUUCAAGUCACACCAACACCUCCUGUGGGGUCUUCCUAUCAGCCUAUGCAAAGUAAUGUUGUGUACAAUGGACCAACUUGUCUUCCUAUUAAUGCUGCCUCUAGUCAAGAAUUUGAUUCAGUUUUGUUUCAGCAGGAUGCAACUCUUUCUGGUUUAGUGAAUCUUGGCUGUCAACCACUGUCAUCCAUACCAUUUCAUUCUUCAAAUUCAGGCUCAACAGGACAUCUCUUAGCCCAUACACCUCAUUCUGUGCAUACCCUGCCUCAUCUGCAAUCAAUGGGAUAUCAUUGUUCAAAUACAGGACAAAGAUCUCUUUCUUCUCCAGUGGCUGACCAGAUUACAGGUCAGCCUUCGUCUCAGUUACAACCUAUUACAUAUGGUCCUUCACAUUCAGGGUCUGCUACAACAGCUUCCCCAGCAGCUUCUCAUCCCUUGGCUAGUUCACCGCUUUCUGGGCCACCAUCUCCUCAGCUUCAGCCUAUGCCUUACCAAUCUCCUAGCUCAGGAACUGCCUCAUCACCGUCUCCAGCCACCAGAAUGCAUUCUGGACAGCACUCAACUCAAGCACAAAGUACGGGCCAGGGGGGUCUUUCUGCACCUUCAUCCUUAAUAUGUCACAGUUUGUGUGAUCCAGCUUCAUUUCCACCUGAUGGGGCAACUGUGAGCAUUAAACCUGAACCAGAAGAUCGAGAGCCUAACUUUGCAACCAUUGGUCUGCAGGACAUCACUUUAGAUGAUGGUAAGUUCAUCUCUGAUAUGUUCUUGAAGUAGUGAAGAUUCAGGGACUUUAUUCUCCCAAGUGUCAUGAAAAAGUUUCUAUGGAUUGCUUAUUGGCAUAUGGUUGGGCUUUUAAAUAAGUUGUUAUUAGAAAUAUAUGUUAAUAUAUAACUUUGCCAGGUACCACGGCUCACGCCUGUAUCCCAGCACUUUGGAAGGCUGAGGCGGGUGGAUCACAAGGUCAGGAGUUCAAGACCAGCCUGGCCAACAUGGUGCAACGCUGUCUCUACUAAAAAUACAAAAAAUUAGCUGGGCGUGGUGGUGUGUGCCUAUAAUCCCAGCUACUCGGGAGGCUGAGACAGGAGAAUCACUUGAACCCGGGAGGUGGCAGUUGCGGGGAGCCAAGAUCGCGCCAUUGCACUCCAGCCUGAGCGGCAGAGCAAGACUCCGUCUCG
This 3866-nucleotide small RNA is filed under the name Pan troglodytes (chimpanzee). Its description in RNAcentral is "retained intron". Lineage: Eukaryota; Metazoa; Chordata; Mammalia; Primates; Hominidae. The record is from RNAcentral.